GAGAGUCACCUCCCUCCUGGGGAGAGAUGCCGUGUUGGAGUGCUCCGCCUCGGGGUUCCCCACCCCCGCCUUCUACUGGAUGAGAGGAGCCGAGAGGAUACAGAGCAGGUCUAAGAAGUACUUCCUGCUGGGCGGCAGUAACCUCCUGAUCAGCAGCCUAACGGACGACGACUCAGGCUCCUACCGCUGCGUGGCGUUUAACAAGAACCAGAACAUCACCGCUUCCUGCGAGCUGUCCGUCCUCGUGCCACCCCAGUUCCUGAACUACCCCAGCAACACGUAUUCCUGAGAGUACGGACAUGGAGCUGGAGUGUGCUGUAACAGGGAACCCUCCUCCCACGGUGCGUUGGAUGAAGAACGGAGAGGAGGUCAUCCCCAGUGACUACUUCCAGAUCGUUGAUGGCAGUAACCUCCAGAUCCUUGGUCUGGUGAAGUCAGAUGAAGGUUUCUAUCAGUGUGUGGCUGAGAACGAAGCAGGGAACGCCCAGGCUAUGGCCCAGCUCAUACUGAGAG
Molecule: long non-coding RNA, 513 nt
Organism: Oncorhynchus masou masou (cherry salmon)
Lineage: Eukaryota; Metazoa; Chordata; Actinopteri; Salmoniformes; Salmonidae
Exons: 4
Source: RefSeq, a predicted model, not a curated record